CAUUAGAUAACUAAAUAUUUUAAGUAUUGGUCUUUUAAACCUUUAAUAGUAAUUUUAAUCAUUACUUCUAAUGA
Molecule: transfer RNA, 74 nt
Filed under: Brachycentrus kozlovi
Lineage: Eukaryota; Metazoa; Arthropoda; Insecta; Trichoptera; Brachycentridae
Description: tRNA-Lys
Source: RNAcentral